This 299-nucleotide long non-coding RNA is filed under the name Capsicum annuum. Its description in RNAcentral is "long non-coding RNA (CANN_LNC002580)". Lineage: Eukaryota; Viridiplantae; Streptophyta; Magnoliopsida; Solanales; Solanaceae. The record is from RNAcentral.
UGGGCUAUUACAACUUACUGAGAACAUGACCCUAGAUAGGAAGGUGUGGAGGUCACGGAUAAAGGUAGAAUGUUAGUACGUGUGUGGGUUGUAACUAGUAGUUAGGGUACUCUGGUCCAGCCGGGUUAGUAAUCCUAGGACUUUGUCCAUUGGUAUGAGCCGUUAGUGUAUGCUACUACUAGGGGUUGUCCUUUUCUUAUUUCUUAUUUCCUAUUUUUCUUUUGUAUUGCUCUUAUUUUCGUGUCUCUUUUAGCUCUAUUUUUACUAUUUUUCAUUUCUUAUUUCAGUUAUGCCACCCU